GGAAUCUUCCACAAUGGGCGAAAGCCUGAUGGAGCAACGCCGCGUGUGUGAUGAAGGCUUUCGGGUCGUAAAGCACUGUUGUAUGGGAAGAACAGCUAGAAUAGGAAAUGAUUUUAGUUUGACGGUACCAUACCAGAAAGGGACGGCUAAAUACGUGCCAN
RNAcentral lists this ribosomal RNA (161 nucleotides) under uncultured bacterium. Its description in RNAcentral is "partial 16S rRNA". It matches the Rfam family "Bacterial small subunit ribosomal RNA", at positions 358 to 511 of the family's 1533-position model. The record is from RNAcentral.